RNAcentral lists this ribosomal RNA (6777 nucleotides) under Plenodomus lingam JN3. Its description in RNAcentral is "28S_rRNA". The stretch from base 307 to 3656 matches the Rfam family "Eukaryotic large subunit ribosomal RNA". The record is from RNAcentral. Lineage: Eukaryota; Fungi; Ascomycota; Dothideomycetes; Pleosporales; Leptosphaeriaceae.
ACUUUUAAUAAUAGAUCUCUUAGUUCUAGUAUUAAUAAAGAACGCAGCGAAAUGCGAUAAGUAGUGUGAAUUGUAGAAUUUAGUAAAUUAUUAAAUCUUUGAACGUAUAUUGCGCCCCUUAGUAUUCUAUAGGGCAUGCCUGUUUAAGCGUUAUUUGUACCCUUAAGCUCUGCUUGGUGUUAGGUGUUUGUUUUACUUAGGACUCGCCUUAAAACAAUUAGUAGCUAGUAUAUUAGCCUAGAGCGCAGCACAUUUUGUGCCUCUUGUUAUAGUUAUUAGCAUCUAUUAAGACACUUUUUAAGCUCUUAACCUUAGAUUAGGUAAGGAUACCCGCUAAACUUAAGUAUAUUAAUAAGCGGAGGAAAAGAAACUAAUAGGGAUUGCCCUAGUAACGGCGAGUGAAGCGGUAAUAGCUUAAAUUUGAAAUCUGGCUCUUUUAGGGUCCAAGUUAUAAUUUGCAGAGGGCGCUUUAGCGUUAGUAGUGGUCUAAGUUCCUUAGAAUAGGAUGUUAUAGAGGGUAAGAAUCCUAUACGUAGUUGCUAGCCUUUGCUAUAUAAAGCCCCUUUAACAAGUUAAGUUAUUUAGGAAUGCAGCUCUAAAUAGGAGGUAAAUUUCUUCUAAAGCUAAAUACUAGCUAGAGACUAAUAGCGCACAAGUAGAGUAAUUAAAAGAUAAAAAGUACUUUAGAAAGAGAGUUAAAUAGCACGUAAAAUUGUUAAAAGGGAAGCGCUUGCAGCUAGACUUGCCUGUAGUUGCUUAUCUAGGCUUUUGUCUAGUGCACUCUUCUAUAGGUAGGCUAGCAUUAGUUUAGGUAGUUAGAUAAAGGUCUCUGUUAUGUACCUCCCUUUAGGGAGGCCUUAUAGGGGAGACGACAUGCAACUAGCCUAGACUAAGGUCCGCGUAUCUGCUAGGAUGCUGGCGUAAUAGCUGUAAGCGGCCUGUCUUAAAACAUAGACUAAGGAGUCUAAUAUCUAUGCGAGUGUUUAGGUGUUAAGCCUAGACGCGUAAUAAAAGUAAACGGAGGUGGGACCCCUUUUAGGGUGUACUAUUAACUAAUCCUAAUAUCUUUAGAAGGAUUUAAGUAAGAGCAUAGCUAUUAGGACCUAAAAGAUAGUGAACUAUGCUUAAAUACGGUAAAGCUAGAGGAAACUCUAGUAGAGGCUCGCAGCAGUUCUAACGUGCAAAUUAAUUGUUAAAUUUAGGCAUAGGGGCGAAAGACUAAUUAAACUAUCUAGUAGCUAGUUCCUACUAAAGUUUCCCUUAGGAUAGCAGUAACGUAUUUAGUUUUAUAAGGUAAAGCGAAUAAUUAGAGGCCUAGGGGUUAAAAUAACCUUUACCUAUUCUUAAACUUUAAAUAUGUAAGAAGUCCUUGUUACUUAAUUAAACGUAGACACUUAAAUGUACUGUUACUAGUAGGCUAUUUUUAGUAAGCAGAACUAGCGAUGCGGGAUAAACUAAACGUAGGGUUAAGGUGCUAGAAUGCACGCUUAUUAGAUACUACAAAAGGUGUUAGUUUAUCUAGACAGUAGGAUAGUAGCUAUAGAAGUUAGAAUCUACUAAGGAGUGUGUAAUAACUUACCUACUAAAUAAACUAGCCCUAAAAAUAGAUGGCGCUUAAGCGUGUUACCUAUACCCCGCCGCUAGGGCAAGAUUUAAGCCCUAGCAAGUAGGCAGGCGUGGAGGCUCGUGACGAAGCCUUAGGGGUAACCCUAGGUAGAACAGCCUCUAGUGCAGAUCUUAGUAGUAGUAGCAAAUACUUAAAUAAGAACUUUAAGGACUAAAGUAGGGAAAGGUUCUGUGUAAAUAGCAGUUAGACACGGGUUAGUUAAUCCUAAGAGAUAGGGUAAUUCUAUUUUAAUGUCGGCGCUUACACCGCGCCCUUAAAAGGGAAGCUAGUUAAUAUUCUAGCACCUAGAUGUAGAUUCUCUGUAGCAACGUAACUAAGAGCAGAGACCUUAGCAGGAGCCCUAAGAAGAGUUCUCUUUUCUUCUUAACGGUCUAUUACCCUAAAAUUAGUUUAUCUAGAGCUAGGGUUUAAUAGCUAGAAGAGCGCUGCACUUUUAUAGCGUUUAGUGCGCUCCUAAUAAGCCUUAAAAAUCUACUUAAAGAAAUAGUUUUUACGCUAGGUCGUACUUAUAACUAUAGCAGGUCUCUAAGGUAAAAAGCCUCUAGUUAAUAGAAUAAUAUAGAUAAGGGAAGUUAGUAAAAUAGAUCUAUAACUUUAGGAAAAGGAUUAGCUCUAAGGGUUAGGUACGUUGGGCCUUAGGGAGAAGCCUCUAGCGUAGAAGGGCACUAACCAUAAGGUGGGCGCCUCUUAGCGCUAGGGUGCAGACACCCUUAGUAGAGUUUUAGCUAUCUAGCGUAUAUUUAAUAACUAACUUAGAACUAGUAUAGAUAAGGGGAAUCUAACUAUCUAAUUAAAACAUAGCAUUGCAAUAGCUAGAAAGUAGUAUUAACGUAAUGUGAUUUCUGCCUAGUGCUCUAAAUAUUAAAGCAAAGAGAUUUAACUAAGCGCGGGUAAAUAGCGGGAGUAACUAUAACUCUCUUAAGGUAGCUAAAUGCCUUGUUAUCUAAUUAGUGACGCGUAUAAAUAGAUUAAUGAGAUUCCUACUAUCCCUAUCUACUAUCUAGCGAAACUAUAGCUAAGGGAACAGGCUUAGCUAAAUUAGCGGGGAAAGAAGACCCUGUUAAGCUUGACUCUAGUUUAAUAUUGUAAAAAGAUAUAGGGGGUGUAGAAUAGGUAGGAGCUUUAGCACUAGUGAAAUACUACUACCCUUAUUGUUUUUUUACUUAUUUGAUAAAGUGGAGCUAGGCCUUACUACCUAACUUCUAGCGUUUAAGGUCCUUUGUGGGCUAAUCUAGGUUAAAGAUAUUGUUAGGUAGGGAGUUUGGCUAGGGCGGCACAUCUAUUAAACUAUAACGUAGGUGUCCUAAGGGGGACUUAUAGAGAAUAGAAAUCUCUAGUAGAGCAAAAGGGCAAAAGUCCCCUUGAUUUUGAUUUUUAGUGUGAAUACAAACCAUGAAAGUGUAGCCUAUUAAUCCUUUAGUCCCUUAAAAUUUAAGGCUAGAGGUGCUAGAAAAGUUACCACAGGGAUAACUAGCUUGUGGCAGCUAAGCGUUUAUAGCAACGUUGCUUUUUAAUCCUUUAAUAUUAGCUCUUCCUAUUAUACUAAAGCAGAAUUUAGUAAGCGUUAGAUUGUUUACCUACUAAUAGGGAACGUAAGCUAGGUUUAGACUGUUGUAAGACAGGUUAGUUUUACCCUACUAAUAACCUUGCCCUAAUAGUAAUACUGCUUAGUACGAGAGGAACCGUGGUUUUAGAUAAUUAGUUUUUGCGGCUGUCUAACUAGGUAUUGCCGCGAAGCUACUAUCUACUAGAUUAUAGCUAAACGCCUCUAAGUUAGAAUCUAUGCUAGAAUAGGGUGAUUUCUGCCUGCACUAGUUAGAUAUAAAUAGGCCUUUGGCCUAGAACCUUACUAGAUCGGCGUUAGCAGCCCUAUUGAAGUUAGAGUUGUUAGCUAGUGUAUUAUAAUUGUAUAGUGCGCAGGAUUGAAUCCUUUAUAGAUAACUUAGUUGUCUAGCUGGGUCGUGUAAGUAGUUAAGUAGCCUUGUUAUUACGAGCUACUAAGCGUAAGCCCGUUGCUAGCUUGGUUAAAAUUGGGAUAUUAUACCCUCCUUAUUUGCAAAACUGCUGCCUAAAUGGCUACUAUUAAUAGAAGGAAGAGGGCUAUAGCUAAUAUGUUAUAUAGCAAUUGCAAGAUAGCGAGGGCUAGAGCUAGAAGCAAUCCUUACAAAAUAUACAAAAGAACAGGUUGUGUGUGUACGUACCCUAAGUAGGUUAAUUAUAGCAUAUAAAGAUUAAAAAAGGAUAUAAAAUAAUCUAUAUAUAUUCGUAGGCGGUGUUCUAUAACUUAGGGCGUUCUAUAACCCUUUAUUUAUUAGGGGUAGUGUUCUAUAACUUAGGGCGUUCUAUACUUAAAAAAUCUUAUAGGCUAUUCUAUAACUAUAGAUUAUUCUAAACCUUUAGGGCAUUCUAUUAAUGUUUUAAAAAAUCUAGUAGGCUAUUUUAUAAGCUUAUAGCGUUCUAUAACUUUAGGGCGUUCUAUAACUUAGGGCGUUCUAUAACUUAGGGCGUUCUAUAACUUUUUACUUCUUAGGGGUAGUGUUCUAUAACUUAGGGCGUUCUAUACUUAAAAAAUCUUAUAGGCUAUUCUAUAACUAUAGAUUAUUCUAAACCUUUAGGGCAUUCUAUUAAUAUUUUAAAAAAUCUAGUAGGCUAUUUUAUAAGCUGUGGAAAAUUGGAUCACUAAGGUUAGGAAUAAUUUAGGAGAUGGAUCAUUAGAUUGUAUCUACUACGAUCGGACUCAUAUAUAUAGAGCUUCAGCUACCCUUACUAGAAGGUGAAUGAUUGGUAAACCUUCCUUACUAGAGCUCCUGCUUUUUGUUAGGCGCUUAGCAGUAAGCUAGCAGUUAAUUAGAUAGUAGGUCAUACAGGGGUAUUAAUCGGGAUUAAUUGGAUUAAGAUGCUCUAUAAUCCAGUUAAUAUCCCUCCUGCAACACACCCCCUAGGUAUAGGUGGAUCUUUUGUUAUUAUGGUUGCGCUUGUGGUUAGUAGGUAGUGUGGCUAAUUAGAGCGUUGUAUAUCUAAAGGGUUAAAUUAGCUCACCCUUUAGAUACUAACUAGCGCGCCUUCCUUGUUUAGCCUACGCUCGCGCGCGUAGAUAUUGCCCAGACUUAGCUCUGUAACUCUAUCUACCUAACUAUAAUCUUUACUAUAGCCCGUAUUGUAAGAUUGUGCAACCCUAAAGAUCUAAACUAUGCCUAUAUCCCUACUAACCUAUAUCUUAGUUAAAGUUAAAAACUGCUGCUCGCGCUCGCUCUACCCGCGCUGCCCUUAUCGCCUCCUACGCAGCUAAAGCUACAGUUGCUAAAGCCACCGCCGCUAAAGAAGAGCGCGCCGCUGCUAAGCGUAAGGCUGUCGCAGAGUAUACAGCAGCUAAGCGCGCGGCUACUGCUACUGUGGUUAAGAUCGCAAAGCUAAGGAAGGGCGCUCCUGCUCUAGCUCCUACUACUCUAGCUCUAACUCUAGCUCCCGCUCCUCCCUAGACCCUGUCUUCCCUAUCGCUCCGUCUCCUACUUCCCUCUUCUAGUCUCCUAAGGAGACCCUAAGAUCCUCCCGCCGCAGAGAGCCUAGCAUUUGUCGUGCUAAAACUUGUCUAAAUUAUCUACGCUUAGCGCUCUUUAACAAGUCUAAUAGCAAGUGCUAUAACUCUUCUAGUAGGGGGACUUAGUACUAGCAGUGCUCCUCUAGGUAUAGCUAUGUCCUAAUAUAUAUAAUCUAUAUAAGAAUUUUUCCUUUGUAACGCUUAGUAAGAUCUUAUACUAACAAACUAAUAGCCCUAAGCUCGCCUAACGUUCUGCGCUGUCUUUCCUAGCAAGGAAGCAGGCAGGUAAGAGCCAAGACCUUCUUAAGGAUAAGAAGCGGAGGGUCUUGGUGCUCCUUAAGGAGAGCAAGGCUAAGCAGCAGGAGCUAGUAAAAGCUGCUGCUACUGCCGCCGAGCUUGCGCGCAAGGCUGCUUUGGCAGCUAAGGGCGCCUAGAGCUCCUUAUUAGAAGAUAAGGACUCUAGCUCCUCUAAGGUUCCCCCUAUAGAUCCUAGGAUAGGGCAACCUAGGCAGCUCCCUAUAGACUCUAAGGCACGCUUCGCGCGCGUGAUAGAGCUCCUUAGAGAAGCUGCCUAGUUAAUAAUAGAGAGGUAGGCUAUAGUUAGUUAUUCUUGUAUUAUAUAUUAAUAGAUCUUAUAUACUACCUUACUUUAAUUAACGCUAUAUAAUCUGUGCUCUGCUAUCGUGUAACUUUAGGUGCUCCCUAAACCUUAUGAAUUGUUAUACAGUUAGAUUUUUAGUAAGCCUAUUAGCUAGCAUAUUACUAGUAGGUAGGUAGGUAAUAUAGAAAGAUCCCUUUGCAUAUUCUUGCCUAAGCCACAUGUUUUAAAUAUCUAUAUAGCGCAGCUUAGUAGUGAUCCUUUUGUUAUUGCCCACUACUAACCUAAUAGUUUGUUAAUUAUCACAAUUAAUUAUCUAGGUGGUAUCUAAAGUAAGAUGUAUUUCAGUUAAAAAGCGUUUUAACGCCAUUGCUUCUUUGCUUACUUGCUUAAGCGCAAGGAGCUCUGCCUUAGUAGUUAAAGUGGUAACAGUUACUUAUCAAGCUGCCUUCUAAAUAAUAGGUCCUCUAAAGAGCGUGAUUAGGUAUCCAUAUAAUAAUUGCCAAGUAUUAAUAUUAUUAGCAAAUAACGCAUCACUACAUAUUAUAAGCUUAUUAGGAUCUCUAUUCCUAUAUUAGAUUAAUUAGUAUUAAGUUUGGUAUAGAUAGACGAUCACUUAAUUAACCGCAUUAAAGUGUUGUUUGGAUGGGUUAGUAAGGUAUUAGGAGAGCCGGGAGGCUGCAUAGGCAAUAUUAGGGCGCACCAUAAUUGAGGUGUAAAGGAUUGAUCCAACGCGCUCCUAAUAGUCCUUAAUCUCCUUUUUGGUGGCUUCUCCUGUGCUUUUUUUAAUGUCUUUACUUAAUAGUAGUGUAGCAGGGAAUUUUCCUGUCUCUACUAGAUCAAAUUUCUUUGCGAUCUUGUUAAUGUAUUUAUUAUAAAUAAGCGUUAUUGUCUGUCUCUUUCUAUCCUAGAUUACUCUUACCCCUAGAAACCAGCUUACAGGUCCCUUUUCCUCUAUAUUAUAUCUUUGCUUUAGAGCUUGGAUAACUCUGUAAGCUUAGCUUGCGUAGUUUU